RNAcentral lists this microRNA precursor (50 nucleotides) under Rhinopithecus bieti (black snub-nosed monkey). Its description in RNAcentral is "miRNA (ENSRBIG00000020684.1)". The record is from RNAcentral. Lineage: Eukaryota; Metazoa; Chordata; Mammalia; Primates; Cercopithecidae.
GUGCGUGGGGACUCGAGGCGGGGGUGGGGGCCUCGCCCUGCCCGGGCCCU